This 63-nucleotide transfer RNA is filed under the name Medeopteryx sp. RNAcentral's name for it is "tRNA-Phe". Lineage: Eukaryota; Metazoa; Arthropoda; Insecta; Coleoptera; Lampyridae. The record is from RNAcentral.
AUUUUAAUAGCUUAUAUUAGAGCAUAAUAUUGAAGAUAUUAGGGAGACCUUGGUCUUAAAAUA